UCUCCCCUAGCUCAGCUGGUUAGAGCGUUCGACUGUUAACUCCCAUGAAACCGCAAUCGAGAGGUCGACAGUUCAAUCCUGUCGGGGAGAG
RNAcentral lists this transfer RNA (91 nucleotides) under Coniochaeta pulveracea. RNAcentral describes it as "tRNA-Asn". It matches the Rfam family "tRNA". Rfam says of the family: Transfer RNA (tRNA) molecules are approximately 80 nucleotides in length. Their secondary structure includes four short double-helical elements and three loops (D, anti-codon, and T loops). Further hydrogen bonds mediate the characteristic L-shaped molecular structure. tRNAs have two regions of fundamental functional importance: the anti-codon, which is responsible for specific mRNA codon recognition, and the 3' end, to which the tRNAs corresponding amino acid is attached (by aminoacyl-tRNA synthetases). tRNAs cope with the degeneracy of the genetic code in two manners: having more than one tRNA (with a specific anti-codon) for a particular amino acid; and 'wobble' base-pairing, i.e. permitting non-standard base-pairing at the 3rd anti-codon position. The record is from RNAcentral. Lineage: Eukaryota; Fungi; Ascomycota; Sordariomycetes; Coniochaetales; Coniochaetaceae.